Molecule: small nuclear RNA, 21 nt
Filed under: Arabidopsis thaliana (thale cress)
Lineage: Eukaryota; Viridiplantae; Streptophyta; Magnoliopsida; Brassicales; Brassicaceae
Description: snRNA_02186
Source: RNAcentral
UUAUUUUUUUUUUUUUUUUUU